RNAcentral lists this long non-coding RNA (1224 nucleotides) under Melopsittacus undulatus (budgerigar). Its description in RNAcentral is "lncRNA (ENSMUNG00000017357.1)". Lineage: Eukaryota; Metazoa; Chordata; Aves; Psittaciformes; Psittaculidae. The record is from RNAcentral.
CUUAAAUACACAGAGGCUGGAAGAACCUACUGUUCCAGUUGUGACACAGGUUUCCUACUCUUUAAGAAACAAUGGUAACAAUGAAACAUUUAGAUCCAGCGAGUGCUUUUAAUUGCAACCUGUCGUUUGAAGUCUGAGCACCAGUGGUAAGGCAGCUUGGAACAAGACAGGAUCUGAACUCCUCAGCCUUUCACCCACCGUUCCCAUCAAUUGGAAAUACAGCCUUCUUUACCUUUCCUUCUCUCUCAUGAUCUGAUAUUAAUUUAUUUUUUUUAAAUGAAAAUGCUUUAUGCUUCUACAAACGGAAGACUUUCUCUAGAGUAAGAGCAACCCAACGUCUGCAGCGCUGUGCCAGCUCCUCCAUACCAGAACACGAAACGCCGGCGCUAGACAAAGACACCACCGCCUGUCACACCUAGACGGGGGGUACCAACGCUGGCCGGUCUGCCGAAGGGAGUGAGAGAAGAAGGCAGUCCGGCUCCGGGAGGAGUAGAGGAGCCCGAGGGGGUGCGGGGACUCGCGGGGCGGUGGAGACACAGGGUGGGGGCAGAAGUGUGGGGAGGAGAAGGAGGAGGGGAAGGAGGAGGGGGUAGGCGGUGGCGGGGCGUCACGAGAGCCAGCGCUGCCCUUAAAGGGCCGGGCGCGGCCGAGGGGCGCAUCCCUCUCGCCCGCAGCCACAGCGGCAGGAGCAGAAGCAGGCGCACCGGCAGCGCUACAGGACAGCAGCACCAGACGGACAUGGGGACGGCGCUGGCGGCGCGGCUCGGCCUGGGGCUCCUGCUCAUGGCCCUCCUCCUCCCCACGCAGAUUUACUGCGAUGCCAGUGGAACAAAUGGAACAAGUCCAACACCUUCAAACAAUUCUUCAGCAAAUUCCACUUACCUGUCAGCUGUCACAAAUUCACUGAACAAUACCACCACUCAGGGACUUGGGAAUUCCCUUCACUCAACCACAAGUCUUCUUUUCAUUCUCUCAGUUUCUCUUCUGUAUUUUUGCUGUUAAGAAACUCUGGCAUGGAAAUGGCUACCACUCCCACCCAAUUUCCUGAACCAUCUGAGAUGGCUAGAUCUCUGACCCAGCAUGAAAGUAAACCAGACCAAACUCUGCAUCAAACCAGCUUGGUUCCACUCCAUACUCAAAUUAGUACCAGUCUGACCUAGAGAAGCACUCAGUAUUCUGACUUCCCAAAGCUGACCAGUAUGAAAGAACAACUUCAGCAAGAAG